This 601-nucleotide ribosomal RNA is filed under the name uncultured bacterium. Its description in RNAcentral is "bacterial SSU rRNA". It matches the Rfam family "Bacterial small subunit ribosomal RNA", at positions 75 to 669 of the family's 1533-position model. The record is from RNAcentral.
CGGGCUUGCCCGGGUGGAAAGUGGCGAACGGGUGAGUAACACGUGAGCAACCUGCCCCGAAGACGGGAAUAAGCCGGGGAAACCUGGUCUAAUGCCCGAUGCCUUCGCCGGACCGCAUGAUCCGGCGAGGAAAGCUCCGGCGCUUCGGGAUGGGCUCGCGGCUUAUCAGCUUGUUGGUGGGGUCACGGCCCACCAAGGCGACGACGAGUAGCUGGUCUGAGAGGAUGUCCAGCCACACUGGGACUGAGACACGGCCCAGACUCCUACGGGAGGCAGCAGUGGGGAAUAUUGGGCAAUGGGCGAAAGCCUGACCCAGCCACGCCGCGUGAGUGAUGAAGGCCUUCGGGUCGUAAAGCUCUGUGGGGAGGGACGAACAAAUCUGGGGCUAAUCACCCGGGUCCUGACGGUACCUCCUUAGCAAGCACCGGCUAACCCUGUGCCAGCAGCCGCGGUAAUACAGGGGGUGCAAACGUUGCUCGGAAUCAUUGGGCGUAAAGCGCACGUAGGCGGUCUGUUAUGUCGGAUGUGAAAGCCCUUGGCUUAACUGAGGAAGUGCAUCCGAAACUGGCAGGCUAGAGUACUAAAGAGGGUCGCGGAAUUC